Molecule: long non-coding RNA, 354 nt
Filed under: Amborella trichopoda
Lineage: Eukaryota; Viridiplantae; Streptophyta; Magnoliopsida; Amborellales; Amborellaceae
Description: long non-coding RNA (ATRI_LNC002656)
Source: RNAcentral
CCAACGUUGUCGGGGGAUGCAUGUUAAAGGAGAUGGGGAUUAGAUUUUUAAGGGAUGAAAUCCAAACCCUGUCAACUAAUUUAAUUAACAGACUUGCAUUUCCAUUUUAUUUUAUUUCUUGGGACCAGUGGUAUUAAUGUAAUUCAUCCUCCUUCCCUGAUGGGAUUUAAAUUCCCAAUUAUGUGAAGGAUGGACCACAUGUGAGUUUGGAAUGGGAAUAGGAUGGCCAUGUGAGGUCCAACUAUUUUUCCCAAGGCAAAUGGAAUUGAAUGCAUAAAUAGAACCCAUGUUUUCCUUUCCUACUAGACUUUGGAAAGCAAAAAUAUGAAGUCAUACAAUGCAUGUUUGUGUGUG